GAAGCACGCCAGACCGUCGCUGGUGCAAUUCCCGAAAGGGCGCACUGGAGGAACGUCCGGACUGCACAGGACAGCGCAGGAGUUAACGACUCUCCACCGCGAGGUGAGGAUCAGAGCAACAGAGACGAGUCGGUGAAGGGGCAACCCCGAUCCGGGUGAAACGGGCAAUCUCUGCGCGCAGCAACACCAAAUAGGCCAGCGCACGGAGCGAGCGGUUCGCCGCGACCUCCUGAUCCCGUGGUUCCGCGGAUGGCUGGCGGGUAGGUGGCAUCGAGCCGUCCGGGCGACCGGCGGCCCAGAGUAAUGACGGUCACGUUGGGGGCAACUUCAACGCACAGAAUCCGGCUUAUCGGCGGGCUUCACAC
This 365-nucleotide RNase P RNA is filed under the name Variovorax sp. PAMC 28711. RNAcentral's name for it is "Bacterial RNase P class A". It matches the Rfam family "Bacterial RNase P class A". From Rfam's summary of the family: Ribonuclease P (RNase P) is a ubiquitous endoribonuclease, found in archaea, bacteria and eukarya as well as chloroplasts and mitochondria. Its best characterised activity is the generation of mature 5'-ends of tRNAs by cleaving the 5'-leader elements of precursor-tRNAs. Lineage: Bacteria; Pseudomonadati; Pseudomonadota; Betaproteobacteria; Burkholderiales; Comamonadaceae. The record is from Rfam by way of RNAcentral.